AGAACGAACGCUGGCGGCGUGCUUAACACAUGCAAGUCGAACGUGAUUCAGAGCUUGCUCUGAUGACAGUGGCGCACGGGUGAGUAACGCGUGGAUAACCUGCCCUGGUAUCUGGGAUAACAUCUCGAAAGGGGUGCUAAUACCGGAUAAGCCUCCGGAAUCUUCGGAUUCUGCAAGGAAAGAAGGCCUCUAUUUAUAAGCUUUCGUAUCAGGAUGGGUCCGCGUACCAUUAGCUAGUUGGUGGGUAAUCGGCCUACCGAAGGCGACGAUGGUUAGCUGGUCUGAGAGGAUGAUCAGCCACGACUGGAACUGACGACACGGUCCAGACCUCGACGGGAGCAGCAGGUGGGAAUUUGCGACG
This 361-nucleotide ribosomal RNA is filed under the name uncultured soil bacterium. RNAcentral describes it as "bacterial SSU rRNA". It matches the Rfam family "Bacterial small subunit ribosomal RNA", at positions 26 to 370 of the family's 1533-position model. The record is from RNAcentral.